AUCAUACUCUCUUUGUUCCGAAUUACUCGUCGCAGAAAUAGAUGUAUCUAGAAAUGGAUGUAUCUAGCAUCUAGAUACAUCCAUUUUUGCGACGAGUAAUUCGGAGCGAAGGGAGUAUUUA
Molecule: non-coding RNA, 121 nt
Organism: Triticum aestivum (bread wheat)
Lineage: Eukaryota; Viridiplantae; Streptophyta; Magnoliopsida; Poales; Poaceae
Source: Rfam